RNAcentral lists this ribosomal RNA (211 nucleotides) under Bifidobacterium sp. 27. RNAcentral's name for it is "partial 16S ribosomal RNA". It matches the Rfam family "Bacterial small subunit ribosomal RNA", at positions 210 to 418 of the family's 1533-position model. Lineage: Bacteria; Bacillati; Actinomycetota; Actinomycetes; Bifidobacteriales; Bifidobacteriaceae. The record is from RNAcentral.
CUUCAUCGGUAUGGGAUGGGUUUCGCGUCCUAUCAGCUUGAUGGCGGGGUAACGGCCCACCAUGGCUUCGACGGGUAGCCGGCCUGAGAGGGCGACCGGCCACAUUGGGACUGAGAUACGGCCCAGACUCCUACGGGAGGCAGCAGUGGGGAAUAUUGCACAAUGGGCGCAAGCCUGAUGCAGCGACGCCGCGUGCGGGGAUGACGGCCUU